Molecule: long non-coding RNA, 597 nt
Filed under: Monodelphis domestica (gray short-tailed opossum)
Lineage: Eukaryota; Metazoa; Chordata; Mammalia; Didelphimorphia; Didelphidae
Description: lncRNA (ENSMODG00000050102.1)
Source: RNAcentral
CAAGCAACCAAUUGUUUCAGUAACUUAGUAACGUUUGUCUACUAGGGAAAUGAUGGUGAACAUAUGGCAUGGGGGCCAAAGAUGGCACUCAGAGCACUCUCUGUGGGCACUUGGCCACCCUCACUCCCCACCCCACUCCAAAGUUUAUUACUAGGCAGAGGGACUCAAGAGCAGAGUUGCUUCCCUUUCCCUCUCCACUGAGCCUGAUGACAUUUUUUAAUAUCCCCUGCCCCUCUGCCCAGCAGCCCAAUGGGAGCACACAGAGGAUACUUGAAGACAGCUAUGUUGUCUCCAUUCUCUAAGUCUUCCCUUCUCCGGGCUAAACAUCUGAAGUUCUUUCAACUGAUCUUCAUGUGCCUCCAUCUUGUUUGGGCUACUUUUGGACAUCCUCUGGCUUUUAACAUCCUUCCAAAAAUGAGACAUUCAGAACUAAAUACAAGACUCUCCAGUGUAUUUUUUCCCCAUUUGAAUAGCUUCAAUCUUUUGGAAGAGAACCUGCCUUGGAUAGAUGAGAUAAUCUGCUCAAAGUCACCUAAGAAAUGAGUGCCAGAUCCGAGAUCCAAGAUGCUCAGGCCAGUGGUCUUUCCCUUAUGUCAC